GUCCCAGUACCAUAGUGGUUCGUGCACAGCCCCGGAAAGGUUAAGUCGCGGGAUCGAUUCCCGCCUGAGAUG
RNAcentral lists this transfer RNA (72 nucleotides) under Nippostrongylus brasiliensis. It matches the Rfam family "tRNA". From Rfam's summary of the family: Transfer RNA (tRNA) molecules are approximately 80 nucleotides in length. Their secondary structure includes four short double-helical elements and three loops (D, anti-codon, and T loops). The record is from Rfam by way of RNAcentral. Lineage: Eukaryota; Metazoa; Nematoda; Chromadorea; Rhabditida; Heligmosomidae.